RNAcentral lists this transfer RNA (57 nucleotides) under Bos taurus (domestic cattle). It matches the Rfam family "tRNA", at positions 8 to 63 of the family's 71-position model. From Rfam's summary of the family: Transfer RNA (tRNA) molecules are approximately 80 nucleotides in length. Lineage: Eukaryota; Metazoa; Chordata; Mammalia; Artiodactyla; Bovidae. The record is from Rfam by way of RNAcentral. RNAcentral also lists the same sequence under 1 other name.
UAGCUAAGAGGGUAAAGCAUCUGCCUACAAUGCAGGAGACCCAGGUUCAACCCCUGG